AACGAACGCUGGCGGCAGGCCUAACACAUGCAAGUCGAGCGAGACCUUCGGGUCUAGCGGCGGACGGGUGAGUAACGCGUGGGAACGUGCCCUUUUCUACGGAAUAGCCUCGGGAAACUGAGCGUAAUACCGUAUACGCCCUUUGGGGGAAAGAUUUAUCGGAGCAGGAUCGGCCCGCGUUGGAUUAGGUAGUUGGUGGGGUAAUGGCCUACCAAGGCUACGAUGCAUAGCUGGUUGGUUAGGAUGCUCAGCCACACUGGGACUGAGGCACGGCCCAGACUGCUACGGGAGGCAGCAGUGGGGAAUCUUAGACAAGGGGGGCAACCCUGAUCUAGCCAUGCCGCGGGAGUGAGGAAGGCCUUAGGGUUGUAAAGCUCUUUCAGCUGGGAAGAUAAUGACGGUACCAGCAGAAGAAGCCCCGGCUAACUCCGUG
RNAcentral lists this ribosomal RNA (433 nucleotides) under uncultured bacterium. RNAcentral's name for it is "partial 16S ribosomal RNA". It matches the Rfam family "Bacterial small subunit ribosomal RNA", at positions 29 to 507 of the family's 1533-position model. The record is from RNAcentral.